GGGUUGUGAGGUUAAGCGACUAAGCGUACACGGUGGAUGCCCUGGCAGUCAGAGGCGAUGAAGGACGUGCUAAUCUGCGAAAAGCGCCGGCGAGGUGAUAUGAACCUUUGACCCGGCGAUGUCCGAAUGGGGAAACCCAGUGUGUUCCGACACACUAUCGUUAACUGAAUACAUAGGUUAACGAGGCGAACCGGGGGAACUGAAACAUCUAAGUACCCCGAGGAAAAGAAAUCAACCGAGAUUCCCCCAGUAGCGGCGAGCGAACGGGGAGCAGCCCAGAGUCUGAAUCAGCUUGUGUGUUAGUGGAAGCGUCUGGAAAGUCGCACGGUACAGGGUGACAGUCCCGUACACGAAAGCACACAGGUUGUGAACUCAAAGAGUAGGGCGGGACACGUGGUAUCCUGUCUGAAUAUGGGGGGACCAUCCUCCAAGGCUAAAUACUCCUGACUGACCGAUAGUGAACCAGUACCGUGAGGGAAAGGCGAAAAGAACCCCGGCGAGGGGAGUGAAAUAGAACCUGAAACCGUGUACGUACAAGCAGUGGGAGCACCUUCGUGGUGUGACUGCGUACCUUUUGUAUAAUGGGUCAGCGACUUAUAUUCUGUAGCAAGGUUAACCGUAUAGGGGAGCCGAAGGGAAACCGAGUCUUAACUGGGCGUUAAGUUGCAGGGUAUAGACCCGAAACCCGGUGAUCUAGCCAUGGGCAGGUUGAAGGUUGGGUAACACUAACUGGAGGACCGAACCGACUAAUGUUGAAAAAUUAGCGGAUGACUUGUGGCUGGGGGUGAAAGGCCAAUCAAACCGGGAGAUAGCUGGUUCUCCCCGAAAGCUAUUUAGGUAGCGCCUCGUGAACUCAUCUUCGGGGGUAGAGCACUGUUUCGGCUAGGGGGCCAUCCCGGCUUACCAACCCGAUGCAAACUACGAAUACCGAAGAAUGUUAUCACGGGAGACACACGGCGGGUGCUAACGUCCGUCGUGAAGAGGGAAACAACCCAGACCGCCAGCUAAGGUCCCAAAGUCAUGGUUAAGUGGGAAACGAUGUGGGAAGGCACAGACAGCCAGGAUGUUGGCUUAGAAGCAGCCAUCAUUUAAAGAAAGCGUAAUAGCUCACUGGUCGAGUCGGCCUGCGCGGAAGAUGUAACGGGGCUAAACCAUGCACCGAAGCUGCGGCAGCGACACUAUGUGUUGUUGGGUAGGGGAGCGUUCUGUAAGCCGUUGAAGGUGGCCUGUGAGGGUUGCUGGAGGUAUCAGAAGUGCGAAUGCUGACAUAAGUAACGAUAAAGCGGGUGAAAAGCCCGCUCGCCGGAAGACCAAGGGUUCCUGUCCAACGUUAAUCGGGGCAGGGUGAGUCGACCCCUAAGGCGAGGCCGAAAGGCGUAGUCGAUGGGAAACAGGUUAAUAUUCCUGUACUUGGUGUUACUGCGAAGGGGGGACGGAGAAGGCUAUGUUAGCCGGGCGACGGUUGUCCCGGUUUAAGCAUGUAGGCGGAACGAUUAGGUAAAUCCGGUCGUUUUUUAACGCUGAGGUGUGAUGACGAGGCACUACGGUGCUGAAGUAACAAAUGCCCUGCUUCCAGGAAAAGCCUCUAAGCAUCAGGUAACAUCAAAUCGUACCCCAAACCGACACAGGUGGUCAGGUAGAGAAUACCAAGGCGCUUGAGAGAACUCGGGUGAAGGAACUAGGCAAAAUGGUGCCGUAACUUCGGGAGAAGGCACGCUGAUAUGUAGGUGAAGCCCCUGCGGGUGGAGCUGAAAUCAGUCGAAGAUACCAGCUGGCUGCAACUGUUUAUUAAAAACACAGCACUGUGCAAACACGAAAGUGGACGUAUACGGUGUGACGCCUGCCCGGUGCCGGAAGGUUAAUUGAUGGGGUUAGCGGCAACGCGAAGCUCUUGAUCGAAGCCCCGGUAAACGGCGGCCGUAACUAUAACGGUCCUAAGGUAGCGAAAUUCCUUGUCGGGUAAGUUCCGACCUGCACGAAUGGCGUAAUGAUGGCCAGGCUGUCUCCACCCGAGACUCAGUGAAAUUGAACUCGCUGUGAAGAUGCAGUGUACCCGCGGCAAGACGGAAAGACCCCGUGAACCUUUACUAUAGCUUGACACUGAACACUGGUCCUUGAUGUGUAGGAUAGGUGGGAGGCUUUGAAGUGUGGACGCCAGUCUGCAUGGAGCCGUCCUUGAAAUACCACCCUUUAAUGGCUGGUGUUCUAACGUAGACCCGUAAUCCGGGUUGCGGACAGUGUCUGGUGGGUAGUUUGACUGGGGCGGUCUCCUCCCAAAGAGUAACGGAGGAGCACGAAGGUUAGCUAAUCCUGGUCGGACAUCAGGAGGUUAGUGCAAUGGCAUAAGCUAGCUUGACUGCGAGAGUGACGGCUCGAGCAGGUGCGAAAGCAGGUCAUAGUGAUCCGGUGGUUCUGAAUGGAAGGGCCAUCGCUCAACGGAUAAAAGGUACUCCGGGGAUAACAGGCUGAUACCGCCCAAGAGUUCAUAUCGACGGCGGUGUUUGGCACCUCGAUGUCGGCUCAUCACAUCCUGGGGCUGAAGUAGGUCCCAAGGGUAUGGCUGUUCGCCAUUUAAAGUGGUACGCGAGCUGGGUUUAGAACGUCGUGAGACAGUUCGGUCCCUAUCUGCCGUGGGCGCUGGAGAAUUGAGGGGGGCUGCUCCUAGUACGAGAGGACCGGAGUGGACGCAUCACUGGUGUUCGGGUUGUCAUGCCAAUGGCACUGCCCGGUAGCUAAAUGCGGAAAAGAUAAGUGCUGAAAGCAUCUAAGCACGAAACUUGCCCCGAGAUGAGUUCUCCCUGAGACUUUAAGUCUCCUGAAGGAACGUUGAAGACGACGACGUUGAUAGGUCGGGUGUGUAAGCGCAGCGAUGCGUUGAGCUAACCGAUACUAAUGAACCGUGAGGCUUAACCUUACAACGCCGAAG
RNAcentral lists this ribosomal RNA (2926 nucleotides) under Enterobacter roggenkampii. Its description in RNAcentral is "bacterial LSU rRNA". It matches the Rfam family "Bacterial large subunit ribosomal RNA". Lineage: Bacteria; Pseudomonadati; Pseudomonadota; Gammaproteobacteria; Enterobacterales; Enterobacteriaceae. The record is from RNAcentral.